RNAcentral lists this ribosomal RNA (953 nucleotides) under Dangeardia mamillata. Its description in RNAcentral is "LSU rRNA". It matches the Rfam family "Eukaryotic large subunit ribosomal RNA", at positions 56 to 937 of the family's 3401-position model. Lineage: Eukaryota; Fungi; Chytridiomycota; Chytridiomycetes; Chytridiales; Chytridiaceae. The record is from RNAcentral.
GAAAGAAACUUACAAGGAUUCCCCUAGUAACGGCGAGUGAAGCGGGAUCAGCUCAAAUUUGAAAUCUCAUAGGCGGGAGCCUAUGCGAAUUGUAGUUUAGAGAAGCGUUUUCGGGGGCAGCCUGGGCAUAAGUUCUUUGGAACGAGACAUCAUAGAGGGUGAGAAUCCCGUGUGUGGUCCAGUGCCUGUCCCUGUGUGAUACGCUUUCCAAGAGUCGGUUUGUUUGGGAAUGCAGACCAAAAUGGGUGGUAAAUACCAUCUAAAGCUAAAUAUUGGCGAGAGACCGAUAGCGAACAAGUACCGUGAGGGAAAGAUGAAAAGAACUUUGAAAAGAGAGUUAAACAGUACGUGAAAUUGUCAAAAGGGAACCGCUUGAAACCAGUAUUGUGGGCAGGGAAAUCAAUGGUCCUGUGGGCCGUGCACUUUUCCUGUCUUUCACGGGUCAGCAUCAGUUUGGCCGGGGGUAGAAAGCGGGGGGAAUGUGACCACUCGCAAGGGUGGUGUUAUAGCCCCUCGUCAUGCCCCGGGCUGGACUGAGGACUGCAGCGCUCUUGGGUAUCCGGUCGUCGGGUGAAGCUGUUGGCAUAGACAGCUUGCUGAUUAUGCUGGGGUGGAGCUCGUCCGGUUGGUUUGCCACACGCACGCUUAGGAUGCUGACGAAAUGGUUUUAAACGACCCGUCUUGAAACACGGACCAAGGAGUCUAACAAGUCUGCGAGUAUUUGGGUGCCAAACCCUUGUGCGUAAUGAAAGUAAACUUGGUGGGAUAUUUGCACCAUCGACCGGUCUGGAUAUUUUUGAUAGAUCUGAGUAAGAGCAUACUUGUUGGGACCCGAAAGAUGGUGAACUAUGCCUGAAUAGGGUGAAGCCAGAGGAAACUCUGGUGGAGGCUCGUAGCGAUUCUGACGUGCAAAUCGAUCGUCAAAUUUGGGUAUAGGGGCGAAAGACUAAUCG